UAAACAUACCCUGACUUAGAUUUGGCGGCCUGUCCAGGGUGGGUUCCUGCCUCUUGCCCAAUGCACAGUGCUGGAGUCCGCUGUUUGGUGCCGGGGGUCUACAUGAAAUUGUCAUUUCCGAGUGUGUUUUACAGAAAGGAAAAGCAAUAUCAGAGCGCCACGACGGAGACCGGAACAGAUCAGGGUCUCCGAAAGAAAUGGAACGCGUGACAAACAAAUGAAAUUCGAUCGAACUCCGCGCAGCUCCGCCUAAUGUGACCGAGGGGAGAAGACACAGAGAAUCAGACGCGCGCCAGAUACGUAUGACGUCUCAGUGGAGCUUUGUGAUGACUGGAAAUGACAGAUAGACCUGCAUCAGGUUGUGAUUGGAAACUACACCGGCCCAGAGUGCUGUUCCUG
This is a long non-coding RNA of Anguilla anguilla (European eel), 399 nucleotides long. RefSeq lists it as uncharacterized. The transcript is spliced from 4 exons. The record is from RefSeq and is a predicted model, not a curated record. Lineage: Eukaryota; Metazoa; Chordata; Actinopteri; Anguilliformes; Anguillidae.